This 580-nucleotide ribosomal RNA is filed under the name uncultured bacterium. RNAcentral describes it as "bacterial SSU rRNA". It matches the Rfam family "Bacterial small subunit ribosomal RNA", at positions 102 to 674 of the family's 1533-position model. The record is from RNAcentral.
ACGGGUGAGUAACGCGUGGGAAUCUGCCCUUUAGUGAGGAAUACCUUCGAGAAAUCGGAGUUAAUACUGCAUACGUCCCUUCGAAAGAAGGGAGAAAGAUGGCCUCUUUGCUGUCGCUAAAGGAUGAGCCUGCGUACUAUUAGCUAGUUGGUAGGGUAAUGGCCUACCAAGGCGAUGAUGGUUAGCCGGCCUGAGAGGGUGAUCGGCCACAUUGGAACUGAGACACGGUCCAGACUCCUACGGGAGGCAGCAGUGAGGAAUAUUGCGCAAUGGGCGAAAGCCUGACGCAGCGACACCGCGUGAAGGAUGAAGGCUUUAGGGUCGUAAACUUCUGUUAAGUGGGAAGAAAAAGGUAGUCCUAAUACGACUAAGAAAUGACGGUACCACUAGAGAAAGCACCGGCUAACUUCGUGCCAGCAGCCGCGGUAAGACGAGGGGUGCAAACGUUAUUCGGAAUGAUUGGGCGUAAAGGGUGUGUAGGCGGCUUAUUAAGUCAACUGUUAAAUUUCUCAGCCUAACUGGGAGUAUGCGGUAGAAACUGAUGAGCUUGAGGAUGGAAGAGAGAAGUAGAAUUCUCGGA